Paramisgurnus dabryanus is the source of this 1368-nucleotide non-coding RNA. The record is from RefSeq and is a predicted model, not a curated record. NCBI's taxonomy places the organism in Eukaryota, Metazoa, Chordata, Actinopteri, Cypriniformes, Cobitidae.
UGUCAGAUUUAAGAAUAUUAACAAUUCUAAAGUUGACUAUUAUUCUUAGUUAAUCGUAAAUUGUUGUAAUAUGCGUAUGACUUGCGAAUGUAAUGCUCAUUUAACUUAAAUAAACCAGGCUUGAUGACGUAUGCAGCCUGCAUAUGCGACCUCCGCAGGAUGCAGCCUUCCGUUUCAGAAACGGCCUACAAGUGUGAGCGUGCGCGAGAUUCUGUCUGAAUUGAUUCUUUAGUAAUGGCAAAGCAAAAAUUUACUGUCGUGGUGAUUAAACGCAUUUUAAAGUUUAAAUUAAAACGCCUAACUUACCUUUCCAGGGGUUUCUGUUCCUGCAGUCUUUCAGGGGUGCUGGCGCGUAUGACGAUGCGGACAUGAACAGCAUACUACAGUAUACCGCCACCUACUGUACUGUAGUACAAUAACGUCUUUUAAACAUCUAAACAUGUCCUCCAAAAAGGAAAAAGGAAAAAACAUUGGAAAACAAUUUUAGCCUAAGGUUUCCUGUGCUGUUUUGCUCCAUUUUACUGAACAAAAUAAGGCUGAGGUAGCACCAUCCUUGUGGUUAGAGUGAAAGAAUGUGGGUAUUGAGACCAAAAUAAACAAUGUGCCAUUCUGGACAAACAGCUGUGGACAAUAUGCAGUCAGAGUAGCCCAUUUUCUCACACAGACCUGAGGAUAAGAUUUCCAGUUUGAAAGUGAAGAAAAUGAAUCAUUAUUAACAGCAAAUAGGAGUAUUUCUCAGCUGAAAAGCCAGGUGAAACUAUAAGGUCACUAUGAUUCACUUUCAUAUUAUCAUUCUUUUCAGAUUUUUUUCCCUGUGUUUUUUUUGUUAGAUGAGGAGCAACCAGUAAGAAAAAGCAAAAAGAUGUUUUGAUGUUGCCUGAGGCACCUUAUUUUCCAUUUCAUGCACAAUCACAAAUGCAGCACAUCAAUCAAUUUCUUCCAACCAGCGAAUCAAGAAAUCUGGGAGUGGAGAAUCAUUCUGAAAGUAGACCAAAUCCAGGACAACAUCACAACAGUGGUCGGAAAAAUGCAGCAAGCCAAGCUGACUUUCAAAAGAUGAUUCGUUAUCUGUUUCUUCAGAGGGGAGGCAGUUUGGGAGAUGGGAAUUAGGAGGAUGCUACAGUUACACAGGGCAAAUUUCAGCAGCUCAGUUUCAAACUUGCAACUAACAUUGAGUUAAAGUUAGAAGACCACGGAAAUAUUUGACAUCGGAGUCCAGCAGACAGCCAGAGACACGCACACACACGCAGCUGAAGCGCGUUUGACUGACGCGUACGGGAGAUCCGGCACGCGCACGGGAGCUCGCGCACGCUCACACAAACACGGAGCACAGGAUAAUUACAACUGUUUAAUUAAAAUAAAAGAACU